GCCCAAGAGAUCGGGGAUAACACCUGGGAAACAGAAUGCUAUACCGGAUAACAACAGAUGAUGCCUAUCAACUGUUUAAAGAUGUUCUGCUAUCACUCUUGGAUGGACCUGCGGUGCAUUAGCUAGUUGGUAGGGGUAACGGGCCUACCAAGGCGAUGAUACAUAGCCCGAGUUGAGAGACUGAUCGGCCACAUUGGGGACUGAGACACGGGCCCAAACUCCUACGGGAGGCAGCAGUAGGGAAUCUUCCACAAUGGACGCAAGUCUGAUGGAGCAAACGCCGCGUGAGUGAAGAAGGGUUUCGGCUCGUAAAAAGCUCUGUUGUUGGUGAAGAAGGACAGGGGUAGUAACUGACCCUUUGUUUGACGGUAAUCAAUUAGAAAGUCACGGGCUAACUACGUGCCAGCAGCCGCGGUAAAU
This 420-nucleotide ribosomal RNA is filed under the name uncultured Lactobacillus sp. RNAcentral describes it as "bacterial SSU rRNA". It matches the Rfam family "Bacterial small subunit ribosomal RNA", at positions 128 to 525 of the family's 1533-position model. Lineage: Bacteria; Bacillati; Bacillota; Bacilli; Lactobacillales; Lactobacillaceae. The record is from RNAcentral.